GGGGGGAAUCUUCCGCAAUGGGCGCAAGCCUGACGGAGCAACGCCGCGUGAAUGAAGAAGGCCUUCGGGUCGUAAAGUUCUGUCUUUAGGGACGAACGUGCACAUGCGAAUAGUGUGUGUAUUGACGGUACCUUAGGAGGAAGCUCCGGCUAACUACGUGCCAGCAGCCGCGGUAAUACGUAGGGAGCAAGCGUUGUCCGGAAUUACUGGGCGUAAAGGGCGCGUAGGCGGGAAUGCAAGUCAGAUGUGAAAACUCCGGGCUCAACUUGGAGAUUGCAUUUGCAACUGUGUUUCUUGAGGGCAGGAGAGGAAAGUGGAAUUCCUAGUGUAGCGGUGAAAUGCGUAGAUAUUAGGAGGAACACCAGUGGCGAAGGCGACUUUCUGGACUGUACCUGACGCUGAUGCGCGAAAGCGUGGGUAGCAAACGGGAUUAGAUACCCGGGUAGUCC
Molecule: ribosomal RNA, 449 nt
Filed under: uncultured bacterium
Lineage: Bacteria
Description: partial 16S ribosomal RNA
Rfam family: Bacterial small subunit ribosomal RNA
Source: RNAcentral